UACGUAGGGUGCGAGCGUUGUCCGGAAUUAUUGGGCGUAAAGGGCUCGUAGGCGGUCUGUUGCGUCAGGAGUGAAAACUCGGGGCUUAACCCCGAGCCUGCUUCUGAUACGGGCAGACUAGAGGUAUGCAGGGGAGAACGGAAUUCCUGGUGUAGCGGUGAAAUGCGCAGAUAUCAGGAGGAACACCGGUGGCGAAGGCGGAUCUCUGGGCCUUGCCUGACGCUGAGGCGCGAAAGCUAGGGGAGCGAACAGG
Molecule: ribosomal RNA, 253 nt
Filed under: uncultured bacterium
Lineage: Bacteria
Description: partial 16S ribosomal RNA
Rfam family: Bacterial small subunit ribosomal RNA
Source: RNAcentral